ACCGGCGCACGGGUGAGUAACACGUAUGAAACCUGCCCGCAGCAGGGGGAUAAUCGGAAGAAAUUCCGUCUAAUACCGCGUAACAUCCCGGGAGGGCAUCCUCUUGGGAUUAAAGGAGCGAUCCGGCUGCGGAUGGUCAUGCGGCGCAUUAGCUUGUUGGCGGGGUAACGGCCCACCAAGGCGACGAUGCGUAGGGGUUCUGAGAGGAAGGUCCCCCACACUGGUACUGAGACACGGACCAGACUCCUACGGGAGGCAGCAGUGAGGAAUAUUGGUCAAUGGCCGGGAGGCUGAACCAGCCAAGUCGCGUGAGGGAAGACGGCCCUACGGGUUGUAAACCUCUUUUGCCGGGGAGCAAAGGGCGGGACGUGUCCCGCGUCGAGAGUACCCGGAGAAAAAGCAUCGGCUAACUCCGUGCCAGCAGCCGCGGUAAUACGGAGGAUGCGAGCGUUAUCCGGAUUUAUUGGGUUUAAAGGGUGCGCAGGCGGGAUGUCAAGUCAGCGGUAAAAUCGGGAGGCUCAACCUCUCUCAGCCGUUGAAACUGGCGUUCUUGAGUGGGCGAGAAGUAUGCGGAAUGCGUGGUGUAGCGGUGAAAUGCAUAGAUAUCACGCAGAACCCUGAUUGCGAAGGCAGCAUACCGGCGCCCUACUGACGCUCAUGCACGAAAGCGUGGGUAUCGAACAGGAUUAGAUACCCUGGUAGUCCACGCAGUAAACGAUGAAUACUC
This 727-nucleotide ribosomal RNA is filed under the name uncultured bacterium. Its description in RNAcentral is "bacterial SSU rRNA". It matches the Rfam family "Bacterial small subunit ribosomal RNA", at positions 94 to 818 of the family's 1533-position model. The record is from RNAcentral.